UGCAGCCGGGGCAGUAGCGGCGCCCUGUACCUUCAAUCCGCUCUAGUUGGGGUGAUGGCCGGCCGAGGGUCUUUGGCUUGUAUAGCUGCCCUUGAUAAGUGAUGUUGACGUCUGGGUCUUGCGCAACGGAAAUCUGUGAACCGUGUCAGGUUGGGAACAAAGCAGCACUAAGCAGAAUCUUUCGUGUGCCGUAAGGGUGCCUAGGCUGAGUUAACUGUCAAGGUAACGUGUAUGGGUUUUGCUCGAAGCAGGUCGCACG
Molecule: signal recognition particle RNA, 259 nt
Filed under: pig gut metagenome
Description: Bacterial large signal recognition particle RNA
Rfam family: Bacterial large signal recognition particle RNA
About the family: The signal recognition particle (SRP) is a universally conserved ribonucleoprotein involved in the co-translational targeting of proteins to membranes. Archaeal SRP consists of a 7S RNA and homologues of the eukaryotic SRP19 and SRP54 proteins.
Source: RNAcentral